This 506-nucleotide ribosomal RNA is filed under the name uncultured bacterium. RNAcentral describes it as "partial 16S ribosomal RNA". It matches the Rfam family "Bacterial small subunit ribosomal RNA", at positions 30 to 523 of the family's 1533-position model. The record is from RNAcentral.
AUUGAACGCUGGCGGCAGGCCUAACACAUGCAAGUCGAACGGUAACAGGAAGCAGCCUGCUGCUUCGCUGACGAGUGGCGGACGGGUGAGUAAUGUCUGGGAAACUGCCUGAUGGAGGGGGAUAACUACUGGAAACGGUAGCUAAUACCGCAUAAUGUCGCAAGACCAAAGAGGGGGGCCUUCGGGCCUCUUGCCAUCGGAUGUGCCCAGAUGGGAUUAGCUUGUUGGUGGGGUAACGGCUCACCAAGGCGACGAUCCCUAGCUGGUCUGAGAGGAUGACCAGCCACACUGGAACUGAGACACGGUCCAGACUCCUACGGGAGGCAGCAGUGGGGAAUAUUGCACAAUGGGCGCAAGCCUGAUGCAGCCAUGCCGCGUGUAUGAAGAAGGCCUUCGGGUUGUAAAGUACUUUCAGCGGGGAGGAAGGGAGUAAAGUUAAUACCUUUGCUCAUUGACGUUACCCGCAGAAGAAGCACCGGCUAACUCCGUGCCAGCAGCCGCAGUAA